RNAcentral lists this long non-coding RNA (745 nucleotides) under Numida meleagris (helmeted guineafowl). Its description in RNAcentral is "lncRNA (ENSNMEG00000021235.1)". The record is from RNAcentral. Lineage: Eukaryota; Metazoa; Chordata; Aves; Galliformes; Numididae.
GCCAUACACUAUAUAAGAGUAGAGAGAAAAACUAACCUCCAGGUGUUUACCAGAGUGAGCUGUCAGGAAGAUAAAAUCAACAUCAAGACUGUUUUUUGUUUUACAAUAUGGUGAGAGCAAUAGAAAAGUAAUAAUUAGCAUUUAGUGAACACCUGAGGUGAAUGCAAUCACUAGUCCCAUUUUUGCAGAUGAGCAAAGUGUAUCAUUCAGGCUACUGCCCAGCCCUUACAAAGCACCCACUGACACAGCUGACAGCAUGCAAUGCAUCACCAGGCCUCACAGCCCCACUGCCAGGUGCGGCCAGCAGCACCACCAUGUUACUGGGCCUCACAGCCCUGCUGCCAGGUGUCAUCUGCUCAUGCUUCUCUCCAGGAAACAGAGGCUACUGUGCAGGCUCCUCAGCAAACAGAUUAUGCCAUGAUGUUAUUACUAUCUCUUUCAAUAACCAUUCAGUGAAACCUGAAAUGAUAGGACUAUCAUCUGCCAGAUGGUGGCUGUAAAUGAAACAAGGAAGCUUGCCAUUAAGUGAAAACAGUAAUCAGAUCCUUCAUACAAAGGAAUCCAUAGUACUUCUGAUCAUUAAAUAUCUACUUUCUUGUUUUGAAAAUGGUCUUCAAGAUUUUUUCUAUUACAGAAAUGGACAAUUAAAAAGAUACCUGUCAGAAAACAAUUAGAAACGUAAGUUAUAAAGAAUUAGACUAUGUACAACAGCUCAUCAUACAAAUCAGUCAACUUUCUUUAAGGC